AGGGAUCACUUCCUUGUUGAGUGGGACCUGAGUUUUGAGAGGAUCUUCUGCUCCUGUUCAUCUGGGCCCUUUCUUUCAAGACCCCAGAGACGAAGGCAUGUGGUGGGCCCUAGCCCUGCUUCUAGCUUUCCUGUCUCUUGCCAGUCAGAUAUCUACUAACUUGGAAGCGAAAAUAAAGUCAGGCACCAGGCAGAUGGGGUCAUCUGCUGUAAUCACCUGUGAUCUUCCUGUAGAAAAUGCCUUCUACAUCCACUGGUACCUACGCCAGGAGGGGAAGGCCCCACAGCAUCUUCUGUACUAUGACAUCUGCAACUCCAGGGAUAUGUUGGAAUCAGGAGUCAGUCAGGAAAGCAUGAUACUUAUGGAAGUAGAAGGAUAAGCUGGAAAUUUAUACCUCCAAAACUAAAUGAAAAUGCCUCUGGGGUCUAUUACUGUGCCACCUAGGACAGGCAGAGUGAUUCAGACCUGCUCUACACCACACUGAAUAUCUGUCUUGUGGCUGCUUCUGGUACACAAGAGAGAGCCGUCCCCUCUCAUUUCCUGCCCUGAAUUUACUGUAUUCUGUACAAAGAGAAACAGCUUAACUCCUGAUCUCCCCCCUAAUAUUACACUCUCCUGUCAGCAGCUGUACCCUGUUCCCCACCCUCCCCCAGGACUUUCCUGAAGACUAAGCUGCCAUCUCAGCUAAGCCUCAGCUAAGCAGCCUGGCUGAGAGCAAGGUUUUCUCAGCUCUCCUAGGACAUGGGGGAGGCCCACUCACUCUGUUUCUUAGGGUCCAGCUGUGAAGCGAGAUAUUUUGGACAGCAAAUGGGAAGGGUAUUUAUACUGAAUCAUGUAUCCAAUCAUGGUCCAGAGAUCGCAGCUGAGAGUGCUGCUUACUCCUUAUGUCUAUAACAAUAUAGGCAAUAUUAUAAAUACCACUAAAACACUAGGCCUAGAUAUGCAGUUAAACACUCUCUCCCUCUGCCCUCCCUUUUAUUCUCUCUCCUUUCUUACUUCCUUGCUUGCUUUUAUUAUUUUUUCUUCCCUCCCUCCCUCCCUCCCUCUCUCCCUCCCUUCCUUCCUUCCUUUUUUCAUUUCUUCCUUCCUUGCUUUUCUCUCUCUUUCUUUCCUUUUUGGGUACAUAAUCCGAAUAUUUUUUCAACAAAAUCAUUUGAAAUAAUUUUUCUUUACAU
This 1175-nucleotide long non-coding RNA is filed under the name Homo sapiens (human). Its description in RNAcentral is "lncAB508.1". The record is from RNAcentral. Lineage: Eukaryota; Metazoa; Chordata; Mammalia; Primates; Hominidae.